This 29-nucleotide non-coding RNA is filed under the name Rattus norvegicus (Norway rat). The record is from RNAcentral. Lineage: Eukaryota; Metazoa; Chordata; Mammalia; Rodentia; Muridae.
UGUAUAAGAAAGAUUUCCUGGGCAUUGGC